CAGAAACUCAUAUUCUUGAGGAUAGGAAUGGUUGAUUUCCAAACACAGCAAGGCUGAUUUACCAAGCAAUUAUCAAAUUCCAACAAUUUACAAAUACAUUGCUAAAGCCAGACACUGCAGCCUGUGUGAAGCUUCGCAGCAGCAAAGAUGUAUACAGGAAGAUGCUUAAAGAUAAUUAGAUUUCAUUCAUUCUCUCUAACGCCUAUGUUACGUUUUGGAUAAGAUGCCACCAGACCACCUUGUGUUGAAAAAAGAAACCAGAAUGUUGGGGGCUGUCCAAGUAAUGAUUGGCCUGAUCAACGGUGCUCUGGGACGUAUCUGGCUACUUUUUUAU
RNAcentral lists this long non-coding RNA (334 nucleotides) under Bos taurus (domestic cattle). RNAcentral's name for it is "long non-coding RNA NONBTAT007488". The record is from RNAcentral. Lineage: Eukaryota; Metazoa; Chordata; Mammalia; Artiodactyla; Bovidae.